Molecule: ribosomal RNA, 253 nt
Filed under: uncultured bacterium
Lineage: Bacteria
Description: partial 16S ribosomal RNA
Rfam family: Bacterial small subunit ribosomal RNA
Source: RNAcentral
UACAGAGGGGGCAAGCGUUAUUCGGAAUUAUUGGGCGUAAAGGGCGCGUAGGCGGCAUGGCAAGUGGAUGGUGAAAUCCCUCGGCUUAACCGAGGAACUGCCGUCCAAACUGCUUCGCUUGAGACCGGGAGAGGUGAGUGGAAUUCCAGGUGUAGCGGUGAAAUGCGUAGAUAUCUGGAGGAACAUCAGUGGCGAAGGCGACACCCUGGACUCAUACUGACACUGAGGUGCGAAAGCGUGGGGAGCAAACAGG